AAUGAACGCUGGCGGCAUGCCUAACACAUGCAAGUCGAACGGACGCACGGGGAGCUCGCGCUCCUGAGGUUGGCGGGGGUCGGAUGGGUAACUAGUGGAUAGCCUACCUCUAUGACUGGGGUGAUAACGGGAAACCGGUGCUACUAAUGCAUCAUAUAUCGUACAGGAUGGAGCAAGCGUUAUAGACGCUUUUCGUGUCUCUAAUAGCCGAAUCCGCGUCGGAUUAGCUAGUUGGUAAGGUAACGGCUUACCAAGGCUACGAUGCGUAGCCGACCUGAGAGGAUGAUCGGCCACACUGGAACUGAGACACGGUCCAGACUCCUACGGGAGGCAGCAGUGGGGAAUCUUCCGCAAUGGGCGAAAGCCUGAUAUAGCAACACCGCGUGAGUGAUGAAGGACUUAGGGUCGUAAAGCGCUGUUGUUGGGAAAGAAGAAAAGCUGUUUAACCGAUGGACGUCUUGACGGUACCCAAAGAAGAAGCCACGGCUAACUUCGUG
Molecule: ribosomal RNA, 497 nt
Filed under: uncultured bacterium
Lineage: Bacteria
Description: partial 16S ribosomal RNA
Rfam family: Bacterial small subunit ribosomal RNA
Source: RNAcentral